UCCCUGGUAGUAUAUCGGUUUAGUACACGCGCCUGUCAUUCAACCACAAUCUUCAAUCAUGUAUGUGCGCGCGCGAAAGCUGGGUUCGACUCCCAGCCAGGGAG
Molecule: non-coding RNA, 104 nt
Organism: Lentinula lateritia
Lineage: Eukaryota; Fungi; Basidiomycota; Agaricomycetes; Agaricales; Omphalotaceae
Source: the annotation of a GenBank genome assembly